This is a non-coding RNA of Rattus norvegicus (Norway rat), 63 nucleotides long. NCBI's taxonomy places the organism in Eukaryota, Metazoa, Chordata, Mammalia, Rodentia, Muridae. The record is from Rfam.
GGGGAUUUAGCUCAGUGGUAAAGCGCUUGCCUAGCAAGUGCAAGGCCCUGGGUUCAGUCCCCA